AAGUCGUAACAAGGUCUCCGUAGGUGAACCUGCGGAGGGAUCAUUACCGAGCGACGGUCCUCCCGGGGCUUCCCUCCGGGAGGAUCGAAUCUCCAACCCCAUGUUAUCUGACCCUGUUGCCUCGGGGGCGACCCGGACGCUUCGGCGUUGGGUGCCCCCGGUGGACCCCAUCAACACUGCAUCUGUGCGUCCGAGUCAAAUGAUAAAUCAAUCAAAACUUUCAACAACGGAUCUCUUGGUUCUG
This 244-nucleotide unclassified non-coding RNA is filed under the name air metagenome. RNAcentral describes it as "partial contains small subunit ribosomal RNA, internal transcribed spacer 1, and 5.8S ribosomal RNA". The stretch from base 1 to 46 matches the Rfam family "Eukaryotic small subunit ribosomal RNA", at positions 1786 to 1831 of the family's 1831-position model. The record is from RNAcentral.